UAGGGAAUAUUGGACAAUGGGCGAAAGCCUAAUCCAGCAAUACCGCGUGAAUGAUGAAGGUCUUAGGAUUGUAAAGUUCUUUCGGUGGGGAAGAUAAUGACGGUACCCACAGAAGAAGCACCGGCUAACUUCGUGCCAGCAGCCGCGGUAAUACGAAGGGUGCUAGCGUUAUUCGGAAUCACUGGGCGUAAAGAGUGUAAAGGCUGUUAGAUAAGUUAGUUAUGAAAUCCCUGAGCUCAACUCAGGAACUAUGAUUAAAACUAUCUGGCUAGAGUAUAGUAGGCGAUGGCGGAAUUCUUAGUGUAGGGGUGAAAUCCGUAGAUAUUAAGAGGAACACCGGUGGUGAAGACGGCUAUCUUGACUAUAACUGACGCUACAACACGAAGGCAUGGGUAGCAAACAGG
This 404-nucleotide ribosomal RNA is filed under the name uncultured bacterium. RNAcentral's name for it is "bacterial SSU rRNA". It matches the Rfam family "Bacterial small subunit ribosomal RNA", at positions 355 to 776 of the family's 1533-position model. The record is from RNAcentral.